GAUCCUGGCUCAGGACGAACGCUGGCGGCGUGCUUAACACAUGCAAGUCGAACGGAGCACCCUUGACUGAGGUUUUCGGGCCCAAAUGAUAGGAAUGCUUAGUGGCGGACUGGUGAGUAACGCGUGAGGAACCUGCCUUCCAGAGGGGGACAACAGUUGGAAACGACUGCUAAUACCGCAUGACGCAUGACCGGGGGCACUCCCCGGGGCAUGUCAAAGAUUUUAUCGCUGGAAGAUGGCCUCGCG
RNAcentral lists this ribosomal RNA (246 nucleotides) under uncultured bacterium. RNAcentral's name for it is "partial 16S ribosomal RNA". It matches the Rfam family "Bacterial small subunit ribosomal RNA", at positions 15 to 235 of the family's 1533-position model. The record is from RNAcentral.